GACGAACGCUGGCGGCGUGCUUAACACAUGCAAGUCGAACGGAAAGGCCCUGCUUGCAGGGUACUCGAGUGGCGAACGGGUGAGUAACACGUGGGUGAUCUGCCCUGCACUUCGGGAUAAGCCUGGGAAACUGGGUCUAAUACCGGAUAGGAGCCAUUUUUAGUGUGAUGGUUGGAAAGUUUUUUCGGUGUAGGAUGAGCUCGCGGCCUAUCAGCUUGUUGGUGGGGUAAUGGCCUACCAAGGCGGCGACGGGUAGCCGGCCUGAGAGGGUGGACGGCCACAUUGGGACCGGGAUACGGCCCAGACUCCUACGGGAGGCAUCAGUGGGGAAUAUUGCACAAUGGGCGCAAGCCUGAUGCAGCGACGCCGCGUGGGGGAUGACGGCCUUCGGGUUGUAAACUCCUUUCGCUAGGGACGAAGCUUUUUGUGACGGUACCUAGAUAAGAAGCACCGGCUAACUAUGUG
This 465-nucleotide ribosomal RNA is filed under the name uncultured bacterium. RNAcentral describes it as "partial 16S ribosomal RNA". It matches the Rfam family "Bacterial small subunit ribosomal RNA", at positions 28 to 507 of the family's 1533-position model. The record is from RNAcentral.